This 253-nucleotide ribosomal RNA is filed under the name uncultured bacterium. RNAcentral describes it as "partial 16S ribosomal RNA". It matches the Rfam family "Bacterial small subunit ribosomal RNA", at positions 524 to 776 of the family's 1533-position model. The record is from RNAcentral.
UACAGAGAGUGCAAACGUUGUUCGGAAUUACUGGGCGUAAAGCGCACGUAGGCGGUGUCGUAAGUGUCUGGUGAAAUCCCACGGCUCACCCGUGGAACUGCCAGGCAUACUGCGAUGCUCGAGUGUGGUAGGGGAGAGCGGAACUCCUGGUGGAGCGGUGAAAUGCGUAGAUAUCAGGAGGAACACCGGUGGCGAAGGCGGCUCUCUGGUCCACAACUGACGCUGAGGUGCGAAAGCAUGGGGAGCGAACAGG